RNAcentral lists this ribosomal RNA (492 nucleotides) under uncultured bacterium. RNAcentral's name for it is "partial 16S ribosomal RNA". It matches the Rfam family "Bacterial small subunit ribosomal RNA", at positions 29 to 507 of the family's 1533-position model. The record is from RNAcentral.
AGUGAACGCUGGCGGCAGGCCUAACACAUGCAAGUCGAACGGCAGCACAGUAAGAGCUUGCUCUUACGGGUGGCGAGUGGCGGACGGGUGAGGAAUACAUCGGAAUCUACUUUUUCGUGGGGGAUAACGUAGGGAAAUUUACGCUAAUACCGCAUACGACCUACGGGUGAAAGCAGGGGAUCUUCGGACCUUGCGCGAUUGAAUGAGCCGAUGUCGGAUUAGCUAGUUGGCGGGGUAAAGGCCCACCAAGGCGACGAUCCGUAGCUGGUCUGAGAGGAUGAUCAGCCACACUGGAACUGAGACACGGUCCAGACUCCUACGGGAGGCAGCAGUGGGGAAUAUUGGACAAAGGGCGCAAGCCUGAUCCAGCCAUACCGCGUGGGUGAAGAAGGCCUUCGGGUUGUAAAGCCCUUUUGUUGGGAAAGAAAAGCAGCAGGUUAAUACCCCGCUGUUCUGACGGUACCCAAAGAAUAAGCACCGGCUAACUUCGUG